Hippopotamus amphibius kiboko is the source of this 560-nucleotide long non-coding RNA. RefSeq lists it as uncharacterized. The transcript has 4 exons. NCBI's taxonomy places the organism in Eukaryota, Metazoa, Chordata, Mammalia, Artiodactyla, Hippopotamidae. The record is from RefSeq and is a predicted model, not a curated record.
GAGGAGGACGAGGAGGAGGAGACGGCGGCCGAGGCGGCGGCGAGAGUGCGGUCGGGCGAGCCCGGGGCCGGCGUCUGCGGGCGGCCCGGGCUGUGCAGCGUUGGUGGUAUAGUGCACUUGCUCUGCUUGAUGAACACAGAAUUCCGGACGGACCCACUAUGCAGCGGGAGUUCAGAAACCUAAGAUGAGCAGUACAAGGCUCUUGCCAGAUUAGAACUCCUGGAGCCAACAGAGUGCCAUUCUUGUCCCCUAGACACAUGUAUCAUCCAACAACAGACUCCGAGGGCCAACGGCUGGGCAGCGCUCGAAUCAACCGAGACGCCCAAGGAUCACCGGGCAGACCUCGGGCAGACCUGGAACCCGCGCCCCUGACAGCGCGUCUCUGGGGUACGAACCCUGAACAAAGGCCAACUUUGUCGGCUUAACGGUACCACCCGAGAAUCCUAACUCAAGGCCGCAAGCCUGAGGCCUGGAGAACGGGCGCGCCACGGCCUCCCGGAAGUCUGAGAAGGCGGGUAGGCCCCGCCCCGGACGGCCCCGCCCCCUGCCGCCGUCGCGCC